AGAGUUUGAUCAUGGCUCAGAGCGAACGCUGGCGGCAGGCUUAACACAUGCAAGUCGAGCGGGCGUAGCAAUACGUCAGCGGCAGACGGGUGAGUAACGCGUGGGAACGUACCUUUUGGUUCGGAACAACCCAGGGAAACUUGGGCUAAUACCGGAUAAGCCCUUACGGGGAAAGAUUUAUCGCCGAAAGAUCGGCCCGCGUCUGAUUAGCUAGUUGGUGAGGUAACGGCUCACCAAGGCGACGAUCAGUAGCUGGUCUGAGAGGAUGAUCAGCCACAUUGGGACUGAGACACGGCCCAAACUCCUACGGGAGGCAGCAGUGGGGAAUAUUGGACAAUGGGCGCAAGCCUGAUCCAGCCAUGCCGCGUGAGUGAUGAAGGCCCUAGGGUUGUAAAGCUCUUUUGUGCGGGAAGAUAAUGACGGUACCGCAAGAAUAAGCCCCGGCUAACUUCGUGCCAGCAGCCGCGGUAAUACGAAGGGGGCUAGCGUUGCUCGGAAUCACUGGGCGUAAAGGGUGCGUAGGCGGGUCUUUAAGUCAGGGGUGAAAUCCUGGAGCUCAACUCCAGAACUGCCUUUGAUACUGAAGAUCUUGAGUUCGGGAGAGGUGAGUGGAACUGCGAGUGUAGAGGUGAAAUUCGUAGAUAUUCGCAAGAACACCAGUGGCGAAGGCGGCUCACUGGCCCGAUACUGACGCUGAGGCACGAAAGCGUGGGGAGCAAACAGGAUUAGAUACCCUCGUAGUCC
RNAcentral lists this ribosomal RNA (744 nucleotides) under uncultured bacterium. RNAcentral describes it as "bacterial SSU rRNA". It matches the Rfam family "Bacterial small subunit ribosomal RNA", at positions 8 to 796 of the family's 1533-position model. The record is from RNAcentral.